UUUUUUUUUUUUUUUAAAUGUAAAUAAGAUGGUGUCUUUAAUUUUUGUUUUAUCUUUUUGUCUCUAUUGAAUAGUCUAAUUUUCAUUUUAACUUUUCGAGAAGGACCUUCUUAAGACCUUCCUUGGAGACAUUUCAUUAAGUGUUGCUGCAUUUAAGAACGAAUCUACAACUGUUCAUUGUCUUGGAUUAAUGCUGCUGCUGCUAUAAGUAACCCUGAAAAUCAAGAAUGUGUGAUGCACUUUUGUUGUUUUUCUUUUACGUGACCAUGUAGUUACUCUGCGAGUAGUUAAACCCUGGUGUAACACAGCCACUAACCGCGGGUAGCAUAGGAACGGGGUCCAGGAGAGGGGUCUGCCUGACUUUGGUGCUGACCUAUGGGAACUUCUAUGCAAACGCAAGCAAAGGAGAACUCUUAACUUGAGAGAACACUGUGCAUUUUCCUUUCGUUGUUGUUGCUUUUUCUCUCCUUCCUUUUCUCAAGCUGCUAUUGGAAAGGGUAGUGCGAAUCCCUGAGGUUUUCAGCUUCUCCUUCCUGCCUGGCUGGUGGUGCGGGAAGGACACCCGAGUAACUUGUGAGGUAGAAAAAUCUCAAUCAAUGUCUUGUCUCUGGUUUUAAUACUUCUGUUUUCUGGUUGAAUCUCUCUAUGGAAGGAAAUUGCUCAUCUCUCCAAAAAGAUCUUUUUAAUGCUUUAUCUCAAUGUGAAGUUAACCAGCAGUAUUAAGGAUUGUGUGGCCUCUUUCCCGCCUGCACCCCCAGCAUUCCAGAGUCACAGGCUCCUUCUCUGGGUGCUGCAGAGUGGUUGGUGCCCAGAGUUGGGACGUUUUCCAAGGAAAAAGGCCAUCUACCCAAACAAAACGUGGUGGCUGAGGUGUGAGGGAGGAGUGGAGGGAGGUCUUGCCCCAUUGAACCCCGAGAACCUCUUGUCUUCAUGGGUCAAACCUGGACCACCGUGGGGGGGAUGCAGCCCUGCAGGAGGAGUUCAGUGGAGGGGGAAAAGGGAAUUUACUUGACUAUUUAUAGAAGAUCCUUUAGGAAAAAUAGUACCUCUAAAGUGAGGGAAGAAUGAGAAAGGUCUACGGUUGUGUAGGAAAAACGCUUGGGGAUUACAACUGCCUGGAAAAUAGUAUAUUAAUACAUAGGCUAGAACUCUCUGCUUCUUUAACUUAGUUUAUUCAGCAUCCAUUAGUUCUUUUUGGCCAGCAUUUGCUGUUUUAGACACGUGUUUGUGUGUGUGUCCGUCUGACUAAAUGUGCCUUGCACGAGUGCUUAGUCUUUGUGAAGGGAGUUGGUGGUGGUGUGUGAGCUGCUGGGACGGUCAGGCCUCGUCUACAGCUGAGGGUUCCUUAGUGUGUCCCAUUGGAUUGAUGGACUUGGGCUUGAGUCUGCAUAGUGGCCGGCUUAUGGUUUGGGGGUGAUGUCCUGUGGGGUGGCACCUGUGAUUUUGGAGGGGGCAGAGAAAGAGAAGCUGCUUUGCUGUUCUCCUGCGGUCAAAACCAAGCAUUGCCAUGCUUCACCUGCAAAGCCAGAACCAGCGAUGGUCUGCAGCUGGCUUUGCGCUGGAGUUAGGGCUCUGCAGCACCAGGGAUCCCGUUAUCCGAGGGUUUAUUCCCUUCCAGGUUGUGGUUCUUGUUACUGUGGGGUUUUUCUCUUACAUUUUUUGUUGUAAAGCAGAAUUAAACACGCCUUGCUUAAAGUUAACAAAACAGGAACGCUUCUGUUUGCAGUCAGUGACUCUGAAUACGAAGCUGUGCAAUUCCUUGUUCCUUCAUCUCUCUCCCAGCUCACCCCAACGUGUGGUUCCCGUCCCAAUCUUUCUGUGCCCCUGCUCACUGUAAAUGUGAAAAGCUUGCUUGCAUUAUUUUCUAGAGAUGCAUUUUGCACACUGGGGCUUCGCCGAAGCUCCGUGAAAAGGUUAGUUUGAAGCAGAUGAAUAAAGCUAUGCACAUGUUUUGAAAGUUUAAUUUGUGUCUCAUUACCAGAAGUGACUUAUCUGCCCUCUUUUGCAUUCCUGUGCUGUCAUUGCCUGCAUUCUCUUCACCACCCCGCAGGGUCUGAUGUAAGGUGACAGUUCUUUGCUGACAGCUGUAGCAGAAAACUGGCGCUUCUUGAUUCUUUUUGGUAGCCUCUCCCCUCUCCUUCGCUUUCUCUGUCUCUCUCUGUAUAGCUAUAUAAAUAUAUAUAUUAUUUUUUUAUUUUAAAGAGCCUACUUUAGUGCUUGGAUCGGAGGGAGCGGGGUGUCGCUGGCCUGUGGUUCAGGUACACUCCUAGUGUCGGAUGAACGAGUGUCCCUUUAUUCCUCUGGUUGAGAGUGGUACCCGCCGGGUGUGCGGAUGGGGACAGGGAGCACACAGCUUUGAGGAGGGGAAGGAGACGGAGCUGCUGGAGGCUUCUAAUGACAGAAUUAACCCUACCAUUGUGUAUUCCCACUGUGAGGUGGGGGACAGGCUUCCUCGCUGUGGUCCCUGGAGCGGAGGGUGAGCUCACUCCGGUCUCUGAGCUUGAUUUGGGGUUUGUUUUCACGAGUUGGGUGCGUUGGGUUGCAGGUACCACCUUUGGAAACGUGUUGCUUAGCCAGGAUACUGCUUAUCCCAGAGCCUUUGUGCAGGAGAGUUGGGAUUCUGUGCCGGGAGAAGGACCCUGACCCUGACUGCUUCCUCCUCCUGUUCCCUUCGCCGUGGCAGCGAUUUGUACUAACUUGACAGCUUUCUUUCAUACCGAACAGGGCUGCUUUUCUAUCUACCAUCACACACGUGUACUUACACACCUUCAGCCUCGCUCUGGAGGUCCUCAACUUGUUUACUGGGGGGACGGAUGCCCCCUCUGUCCCCCUCCCCUGAGUAUUUCAGUGUUAAGGGCGAUGUGAAAACACAACCGCGCGCUUCGCCCGUCUCCUCCUGCCUCCCCCAUCCACGAGUUCUCAUUUCCUUCCGUUUCCUUGUGUAUUAAAUUCACCACGAAGGGGCUGCGCUGAAUUACCUCUGACGCGCAGAGAGGCGCAGCCCCUCUUGGUUGUGUGCGACCACACGAGUCUGUAAAGGUAGUUUGUGUUUCCUUCUCCCUUCCUUGGUUAUUCCCGAUGAGGUUAAUGCACUCUUGUGUGCCCAGCUGGAAAAGUGUCGGCGUUUUCCCGGUGGUGAGAGGGUGGCUGGAAGAGUUAGUGGAAUUCCUGCUGUAGCUGUGUCUGGCGCAGCCCUUUGCGCUGGAAUGGGUGAUGUCAAGGACUGUAAGGAUAGGUAAUGUCCAUGAGCUGUAAUGGCAUGAUGUUAUCUUUACCAAUGAUGUCAUACUUCACACUAAAUGUUUAAAAAAAAAGAGAAAAAAAAAAAAAAAGGAAAAAAAAAGAAAAAAAUUACCUGGAAUUUUGUUUAUUCUGCACCAACAGGUCUUCAAAAUUUAUCCAAAUUUUAUUAUUUUAUCAGGAAAAAAAACAGAAAAACCAGAAAUUUGUGUAGAUCGAAUACGUUAAGACAGACAAUAAGUGAUGUAAAUUGUUGAAUAAAAGUUUUAAAGUU
Long non-coding RNA from Strigops habroptila (Kakapo), 3514 nucleotides. Lineage: Eukaryota; Metazoa; Chordata; Aves; Psittaciformes; Psittacidae. The record is from Ensembl.